AUUGAACGCUGGCGGCAUGCCUUACACAUGCAAGUCGAACGGUAACGGGUCCUUCGGGAUGCCGACGAGUGGCGAACGGGUGAGUAAUAUAUCGGAACGUGCCCAGUAGUGGGGGAGUAACUGCUCGAAAGAGCAGCUAAUACCGCAUACGACCUGAGGGUGAAAGGGGGGGAUCGCAAGACCUCUCGCUAUUGGAGCGGCCGAUAUCAGAUUAGCUAGUUGGUGGGGUAAAGGCCUACCAAGGCAACGAUCUGUAGUUGGUCUGAGAGGACGACCAGCCACACUGGGACUGAGACACGGCCCAGACUCCUACGGGAGGCAGCAGUGGGGAAUAUUGGUCAAUGGGCGGAAGCCUGAACCAGCCAUGCCGCGUGCAGGAUGACGGCCCUACGGGUUGUAAACUGCUUUUCCCCGGGGCGAAUAACCCCCUCGCGAGGGGGAGUGCCGGUACCGGGGGAAGUAAGGAGUACGGCGUAACUCCGUG
RNAcentral lists this ribosomal RNA (484 nucleotides) under uncultured bacterium. RNAcentral describes it as "bacterial SSU rRNA". It matches the Rfam family "Bacterial small subunit ribosomal RNA", at positions 29 to 507 of the family's 1533-position model. The record is from RNAcentral.